GAAAUGCGAUACUUGGUGUGAAUUGCAGAAUCCCGUGAACCAUCGAGUCUUUGAACGCAAGUUGCGCCCGAAGCCAAUUCCAGGCUACAGUAAAGCUUCAUAGGGUCUUUCUGUCC
Molecule: unclassified non-coding RNA, 116 nt
Filed under: uncultured fungus
Lineage: Eukaryota; Fungi
Description: sequence contains ITS1
Rfam family: 5.8S ribosomal RNA
About the family: 5.8S ribosomal RNA (5.8S rRNA) is a component of the large subunit of the eukaryotic ribosome. It is transcribed by RNA polymerase I as part of the 45S precursor that also contains 18S and 28S rRNA.
Source: RNAcentral